CAAAAAAUAGUUUAAAUAAAAUAAUAAUUUUGGGAAUUAUUGAUAAAGUAAUUUCUUUUUUUUUGA
Molecule: transfer RNA, 66 nt
Filed under: Griseosphinx preechari
Lineage: Eukaryota; Metazoa; Arthropoda; Insecta; Lepidoptera; Sphingidae
Description: tRNA-Pro
Source: RNAcentral